UACAGAGGAGCCAAGCGUUGUCCGGAUUGACUGGGCGUAAAGCGUCUGUAGGUGGCUUUUUAAGUCUGCCGUCAAAUCCCAGGGCUUAACCCUGGACAGGCGGUGGAAACUACCAAGCUGGAGUACGGUAGGGGCAGGGGGAAUUUCCGGUGGAGCGGUGAAAUGCGUAGAGAUCGGAAAGAACACCAACGGCGAAAGCACUCUGCUGGGCCGACACUGACACUGAGAGACGAAAGCUAGGGGAGCGAAUGGG
Molecule: ribosomal RNA, 253 nt
Filed under: uncultured bacterium
Lineage: Bacteria
Description: partial 16S ribosomal RNA
Rfam family: Bacterial small subunit ribosomal RNA
Source: RNAcentral